GGGGUGGAUCGCCUUCUUCCCCUCAUCCAUUCCUCGCCGGCGGUGAUACUCACCGUCACCUGCACAAGAAGAAAAACACACAAGCCAGUCGAUUUUAUUUUUUCAUUUUUACAGAUCUGCUUUUGAAAUCCCUUUUCUUCUCCUCCGGAGAUGAUCCUGCUGUGAAGGAGGGCCUUUACUUUGGUGGCCAUGAUCUUCUGUGAACGUGGGAUGCUCCACGGUGGACGAUCUGGCGGCGAGAAGGUGUGACAACCGCGAGGGGGUGGCGCUGCUGGGGGAACACGGCGCUGCUGCACAAGGAUGGGGUCGUCGCUGCUGUCGUUUCCCCGUUGUUCUCUAUUUCCAGCGGUGGGUUUCUUCUUCUGCCGAUGGCAGAUCUUGUUGCUGCUGUCGUUUGGCCGGCCGGGUGGAGAAAAUCAGAGGACCAUUAGGGGGGAGUUGUGGUGGUUUAGCCAAGGGACGGAGGAACGGCUGAGGGGGAGCUGGUUCGGUGGCUGCGAUGGGUGAAGUGGAGGUCUGGUGGAGGUGCUGCUGUGGUCGGCCAGGAGAGGCAGGGGAGACAACGGAGAGAACCGGUGAAGGCCGGCGACGGGGCUGUUGGGGUCGGCUGUGAGAGGGCUGAGAAGAAGGGAAAAUUCUGAGCCUUGGGGGAAAGGCCUGGCCGCCGGUUGGAGAAGAAAAAAAUGAAGGUGGGGGGCUGGCGGCUAGUUUCUUUUUUUUCGUCCGGGAGAGGAAGAGAACUUUAGUUUUUUUAGGGUUUUUUCCCCUUGUGUUUCCUCUCCCUCUAUUACAAAAUCGCCCCCCCUUUCUACCUUAAGUUUCCAACCUAUAUUUAUAGGUAAAAGUUGCCCGGGUAUCAAAAUUGGUCCCUCAACUUUCUUUUUUUUGUAAAUUUUGUUUUUUCUUGUUUUUUUUUAAAAAUGAGCAAAAUCAACAUCAAUUUUAUGAGAAAAAUAAUUAUUUUAAAAUGACGCGUGAAAAGUCGAACGCGUUCAAAAAAACAAUUGAAAAUUAAAAUUCUUUUUUGAAGAUGUUGAAAAUGCUAAAAACAUUGCAAAUAUAUUAAAAACAUAUUUUUUUGGAUUUUUGUUGUUUUUCACUAUUUUUGGAUUUUUCGAAAAAUUUAUUAAAAAGGUGGGUCAAAAUUGGGUAACAACAGAUGUCCCCUCUUUACAAUGCUUACGAAGCAAAACUCCUCAAUGUUUUGCAUAGUAAGCUUUGUAAAGAAAAGAAAAAGAAAAUGAUCUUAUUAUCUUGGGCGACAUGCCCCUUUUGAAGAAAAAGUGGUCUAUUUUCAGGGGCGACCGGCCCACACAAUCACACUGGUCUACUUUCACGGGCGACCUGCCCACAUAUACUCAAAGUGGUCUAUUUUCAGGGGCGACCUGCCCACACACUCACACUGGUCUAUUUUCACGGGCGACCUGCCCACACAUACUCACUCUGGUCUAUUUUCAAAGGGCGACCUUCCCUUUUGAUUGGUUUACCUGAGAUCCCAUCUGGCGAUCUAACAAGAACAAAAACCGGUGUGUAACUCGGUUACCCUGAAAUCCCAUCUAGUGAUUCCCUUUAACUAGAGUCGUUGUGUGGUUAGACUGAACUGAGAUCCCUUCGUCGAUCCCCUUCAACCAGAACCAAAAUCCUUUCCAAUUAGGUUAAACUGAGAUCUCUUUGCCGAUCCCCUUUAACCAUAACCAAGGUCUGUGUGGUUGGGCUGAACUGAGAUCCCUUCACCGAUCCCCUUCAACCAGAACCAAAAUCCUUUCCAAUUAGGUUAAACUGAGAUCCAUUCGUCGAUCCCUUUUAACCAUAACCAAGGAAUGUGUAGGGUUGGGCUAGACUGAGAUUCCUUUUGGCAAUCCCCUCUAACCAGAACCAAAAUCCUUUCCAAUUAGGUUAAACUAAGAUCCCUUCGUCGAUCCCCUUUAACCAUAACCAAGGAAUGUGUAGGGUUGGGCUAGACUGAGAUUCCUUUCGGCAAUCCCCUCUAACCAGAACCAAAAUCCUUUCCAAUUAGGUUAAACUAAGAUCCCUUCGUCGAUCCCCUUUAACCAUAACCAAGGAAUGUGUAGGUUGGGCUAGACUGAGAUUCCUUUCGGCAAUCCCCUCUAACCAGAACCAAAAUCUGUGUGUGGUUGGGAUAGACUGAGAUUCCUUUCGGCAAUCCCCUCUAACCAGAACCAAAAUCCUGUGUGUGGUUGGGAUAGACUGAGAUUCCUUUCGGCAAUCCCCUCUAACCAGAACCAAAAUCCUGUGUGGUUGGGAUAGACUAAGAUUCCUUUCGGCAAUCCCCUCUAACCAGAACCAAAAAACCUGUGUGUGUGACUUGGUCAACCUGAAAUCCCAUAUGGAGAUUCCCUUUAACCAAAGCUACAUGAGAUCCCAUCUGGCGACCUCAUUCAACUGGAACAAAAGAAUGUGUAAAAAGUGGUCUCAUUAUAAUGGGUGACCUACCCAAGUGGAAAGGAGGAAGAAUGGUCUCAUUCUUAUGGGUGACCUACCCAGAUAGAAAGAAUGUGAAGUGCGGUCUCAUUGUAAUGGGUGACCUACCCAAAAAGGAAAAAAAAAUAUGAAGUGUGGUCUCAUUGUAAUGGGUGACCUACCCAAAUGGAAGAUGUGAUAUGACAAGUGUGAAAAAUAGGACUUACCUGGCGAAGUCCUGAGGGGAUGACAGAGGAAGGGCUGGAAAACUUGGUGCUUCCUGAUAAUUCCCAAUCAUAGGAUUUGACAACUCGGUGUUUCCUGACUGCAAGAGUUGAAAACUCGAGGCUUCCCGAUUGCAAGGUUGAUCUCUUCAUUUCUUUGGGAUUUUCCUGUAACAAUUGAAAAGUAUGUGCAAAUGGUUUUUUUUUUUUUAGAGGUUAGAUGAUAUGCAUGCAUCCUUACCUGAUUUGAAAUAUAGGUCCCCCCUCUUUGAUGCUCCAUCGUCAUAGGGUGCCCUUGUUUGCAUCCCAAAGCUUUCUUUGUUCUUCCGAUGCAUUGGCUCAUUCAUGUGCUAGCCAUCCACUCAACUGUAAAUGCAGUGCCCAUCCCGGGGUGUCUUCGACAAUUACUGCUUGCAUCGUUCAUCAAGCUUGACCCUGCCCCCAAGUGUGGUACUGCUUGAUUCAUCAUGAAGGAUUCUCUCUCUUAGCUUCUUCUGAGAAUUAUCCUCUGAUUGAUUGUGUGCAUCAUGCCAAUACCCAUCAAGAUUGUUAAUCAGUCAUGAACUGGCCUUUAGUUGAAACAGUAUUCUUCAAGUACAUGUUAUCAUCAGCCUUCUUGGAACUCAUUCAGUCAUCUAGUCAUGCAUCUCAUAGCUUCUAGUACAAAGGCUCAUGGUUGUAUGCUCAGUGUUCUUCUCAGUAGAUUCCCUUCAACUCUUCUAAUCAGAUUUGUGAAAAGAUAUGUCUGGCCUCAUCAAUGAUGCUGCUUUUAUCACCAUACUCAUGCGGUGAAGUGCUCAUCUGGCUUCAAAACAAAUUAUCCCACACAGUCAGUCUUCGGGGUGGGUGCCUUUCUGACAUUCAUUCAAUGCAGUUGCGUGGUAACGUCUGUCGAUAACCAUGUUUCAAAGGAUGACAAUAUGAGAUUGUCCUUCAAGUGCAGCAAUGUUCCACAAUCAGUCCUGGUGGUGCAUAUGUUCGAUGUUCAUUUAAAUGCACUCACCCGAUAACAUCUGUCAGGAGUCAUAGCCAUGUUUCAGAGGGUGACCCAAGAUAAAGAUAUGAAAAUAUCCUUCAAGUGCAGCGUUGCUCAUCAAUUGCUGUUGAAGUUCACUAAAUCAUGGAUUGUCUUUGAACAACAUUGCCCCUAGUUGAUCUGAACAUGCUCAUUCUUCUUUUUACAACCAAAUGGAUUUUGUGAAUGCCAGGAAUGACUUUGAUGGCCUUUGAUGACUCAUUAUGUGAUUCUUUCUUUGCCCCCAGCUGAUCUGGAUACUGUUUGUUUUCCUUCUUAAGGUCCACUGUAUUGCCCCCAGCUGCUCAACUUUUCAAGGAGUGUCGAGGACUUCAAUGUCAUUUCUAUCAACGAUUUUGCAUACUCAAUCUAUGUUCUUCAGUGUUUGAUAAUCUUCCUUGUUCUGGAAUCAACUUUCAUAUUUCAAAGAUCAUGUCUAUUCAAAGUCUAGUUUGUUGAGAUGAAAUCAGAGACCCAAUGUAGGAUUAAAAUGGCUUUUCCAUGGUUCUUUGUAUCAAUUUGAAUCCUUGAUAUUAGGUAUAUCAUUUGAUAGUCUAUGAUGAGGUGACCUUUUUUUAUGAAUUUCAAAAGCAAGGCACCCAAGUCAACACUUAGGCUUUAUCAAGAAAGAUUAUUUCUUUUCUUAGCACUUGUUUUAUCAGCAUGCAUAAUAACCAAUAGCUUAAUUCAUGAAGUCACGACCCUUAUGGAAAAGCUCUUCAAGUUUUGAGAGCGCCAUUUAUCGGUUCAAAUUGCUUACUUGAUUAAAAAGGGCUUUUAAAAGCACGUAAUGCAGGCUAUGGUUCAUGGCUAUGAAAGAAAGGAAUUUCAAAGGCUCAAAAGGUGUUUGAGGGUUUCAAAGACCUAGGAUCAACAUCAACUAUUCAUCAACUCUUUUCUAUUGUUGUCUUUGUAGAGGAAACGACAUAUAACCUUGUUAACCUCACAGUUCAGACUUUUCUUAACAUAAGUCAAUGCAAAUCCACCUUUCCUUGAUGAAUAACCAACCUUAAGCAUCUGAUAACAUCGUAGGCUUUAUAAUAGAAACCAAAAGUCACGUUUACACCUUAGUCUUUUUUUCUGGUAUUGACUUUUGUUGUGUCCUUCCUUGAUUGAAAUUUUUUUUGCUCUUCAUAGACUUGAUAGGCAUUCUCUUCCUUUAUCUUUGACUUGUCUUUAAGUGAAGGCAAUUUCCUUCUUCUUCUUCUUUUUCUUUUUUUUUUUUUUCAUCAUAGCCUUCCUAAAAAUUCUAUAUGCCCCCAGUCUAUGUUUUCUUUUAGCUCUCUCUCAAUCAUUGGACUUUGUUCUAAGCCUUCCCCUUUAUCCAUUAAUGAUAUCAAUUCUUCAAAAUAUCUCUCAUCUGCCCCCAGUGUGGGGUGUGAUCCUAGUCAGGUUUUCAUGAAAAAUAUUUUAUCCAGCUCAAAAUGGGACUACAAGGGAUAUAAUCUUUAGAAAGUGAAGGGAUAUCAAAAUGGCCUUUUCUCAUUUCAAGCAAGGUCGGUUAGAACCGAUAAAUUUUGACCCCAUCCAGUGUAAUGAUUGGGACUUGUAAGAAUCAUGAUUCACGAGUCCAUAACUACCGAAUCCACUACAUGUCAUUAUGCAUACUGCUAAAACAUAGCUAUAUGAUGUGUGGUUCAGUUUCAGGAGGUAUGAGUUCAAAAUUGUUUAGUCACCUCGUAUCAUUUUCAAGCAUCAAGUCAUUUCUGUAAUCAAAACACUUUUAAUCUUCAAGAUUGAUUAGCCUUUAUUGCAUGUUGGAGUUUGAUCAAAAUAUUUUAUCAGAAUAAAAUGCUAAACAUCUAUUGAUUUCAAAACAACAAAGAGACAAAAGCAAGGCAUGUUUCGUUGAAGGAUGAGAUGUGAUCCCAAAACAAAAUGCAGAAUUCCAUAACAAUAUGAUUGAUUGUUCAUCACCAUUCUUGAAUCAGCUUUUCUGGCAAUAUCUGUUUUUUUGCCAAGCAUUUUCGAUCACAUGUCAUUCUGAUGAUGUUCAGGGAACAAUAUAGCCAAUGACACCUUCCUUUGCAAGCUCCACUUGUCCCUUUCUCACCAACUUUCAGACUCGCUUCUUGAAAUUCUUGCAAUUGCUCAAUUGAAAUGGUUGAGGACCCCAUCAUGACAUCACAUCUCUUGUCUGGAAAUAAACCACCCAGAAAAUGGUGGUUGCAUGGGAUUUUUCGGAGUUAGGUAAAAGUCUGGAAUCUAGCAGAUGCUGGCAAAUAAACUCACAUGACAACUAUUCAAUUGAAAUUCUUGCAACUAUUCCAUUGAAAUGGUCGAGGACCCCACCAUCACAUCACAUCUCUUGUCUGGAUUGAACCACCUGGAAAAUAGUGGUUACAUGAGAUUUGUCGGAGUCACGCAAAAUUCUGGAAUCUGGCAGAUGCUGGUCGACAAACUUAAGUGGCAGAGGAAUGUCAAUCUUGGCAAAGACAUUUGAGCAAUUGAUGCUACCGUGAGACCUGGCUAGACCACAUAAUUAAGGUUGCACACUAUCAAAGUCAUCUCCUGAUUCACCUCUCAUCAUUGUUCUGGAAUCCAUGGCAGAUCCUUCAAUCUUUCCUCUCUUCAUAGCUUGUUCAAAUCUUCGGCAAAUUCUCAUAACAUCAUUUCAAUCUUCCAAUGUUGUUGUGGUUGGUUGAGGAUUGUUAGAAAAUUUUCCCACAGCUUGGUAAUCUUGGCAGCGCCCAGAAACUUGUAGUAUCGCCACUACCGCCACGUGGAAUCAUGCCUUAUCUCUUCUAUGGGAAAGAGAAUCUAUGGGAAUGAUGAACAUGAAUCUCCUCUAUUUCUUCUUCGAUUCCUCUUGAACGGUGCAGCAAACAAGCACUAAUAGAGGGAGUUCUGCUCUGUGGAAGUUUCAGUCUUCUUCAUGUUUUUCAGUCUAGGCAUGUCUCUUCUCUCUACUUUUGCGUUUUAAUACUGACACUGUUGGAGGAAAAUCAUAGAUGAUCUGAAACUACUGUAUUCCUUCUUGGAUUUCCCACUUGCGGAUCCACAAACAGAUUCCUGUUGAGAGAGCUUUGCUACGUUGAAUUUUGAUGUCUGCUCAUAUUUUCAGACCAAAUCUGGCUCUUCAACAUGCUACAGUUUCUUCGUGCUGAAACUGACGAGAGAAAUAUUUGUAGCAUAUGCAAUUAGUAAAUCCUCUCUUGCACUCUCAACUUGCAGCAUCAUAAACAGAGUUUUGUAGAGAGAGCUCUGCCAUGUUGAAGUUCGACGACUACUCAUAUUUUCAGACCAGGCUUGACUCCUCUGCUUAUUACAAUGUUUUGCUGGUGCCACUAGUGGGAAAAAGUUUCAAAGCAUAUGAACUUGAUACAUCCUCUUUUGCAUUUCCCAUUGGCAGAUCCACAAAUAAAUCUCUACAGAAAAAGCUCUACCACAUUGAAGUUCGCAUUUCCCAUUGGCAGAUCCACAAAUAAAUCUCUACAGAAAGCUCUACCACGUUGAAGUUCAGUGUCUGAUCAUGGUUUUUUAUACCAACAUCUUGUGCUGCUGAACUGGAAUUGAGCUCAUAAUUAGGGUAACUUCAAAGCAAAUUAAUUUGCUAGUAGUCGUUUGGUUCAUUAGAUGAUGUGGAGGCAUUAACACUUAAGAGUGCAACUGGACAGGAAUCCGAGUUGUCAUUAGUUGAUGACUGAAGGCAUUGUUGCUGUUGUUCAUGACUGAAAAGGAGAGGCAGCUUCAAUUGGACGUGGACAAGCAGUGUUCCCACAGAAGACUGUGCAGACAUUCUCUUUCCAUUUAAAUACUCAACACUUGUUCAAGCAAAUCUGAGUCUUAGCUGUUUCACCUUUGAUGCUCUCAACUCCUUUGUUCACUUCCCUCAUCUUUUCAAAUCACGUGCAGCACAGCUUGUGGGGGACCUACCUUUCAACCCGCUACAUGCAUGAAAUGUAUGAAUAUGUAAUCUAUAUGACGAACUCGCCCUUCGAGGGGUGACAUAUGGUCGCAACUCUUGUAUGAUGAAACAAGAAUCUUGAUUCUUGCACAAACUCUACAAUGAAAAUUUUCUGAGCGACGGUCAUUGUGUCACCUAUAAGUCUGGAGUUCAAGAUGCUUCAAGAAGGGCUUGCUCGGAUACAAAACCAUGUCUACGGAGUAUACAUCCUAAAAACAAGUUCUAAUUUUUGUAAGUGAGACAAAAGGGAGGUUUACUAUUUGGUCUCUAAAAAAGGUCUCUUGUUGUCCCAGUGAUCGCCCUCGUGGAGGCAAUAUGGGGGCUUGUAGGUAGUGAGAUGGCACGUGUCCAACUAUUACCAGUCUAAGCACUCAACGAAGAGUUGGGGUUUACACAAACUUAAACCUUGACUAAAAGUCAUAAGGUAAGCUGCUAGUCCCCCUCCUAACCUGAAGCUUGUGUGUGCUUUUAAAAAAAUUAACUAUGUGAUGCAUGAGAUAAUUCUACAAAAUGCAUGGAUAAAACAAAUAAUAAAAAACACAAAAAGCAAAAACAUACACAUCAAAUAUACAAAGCUUAGUCUAAUAAUGUUGAAAACAAUACCAUCCCCAGUGGAGUCGCCAAUCUGUCGCACCCCAAAAAAAUCCUGGCGCGGCAUCGGCUGGCGAUUAUUAGUUCUGUUUUGCUGAUUUGGUUCUUUGGAGUCGCCACCUAGUAAUUCAUUGAGGGCUACUAGGAAACCUGAUGUACUGGUCUUGUCAGAGAUCGCGGGUAAGGGACUGGUUGUGGUUAGGGAAGGUAUUAGCACCCCUAACGCACCCUACCUAGGUAAGCUGCUUUGUGGACUUGAUGUGUUAAAAAAUUUCUGUUCUUUCAUCGAAUUUUAGAAAAUACAACUUACAUGUAAGUUCAUGAUUCUUUAUCCGUGAUUAAAUCGGAAUAUUAAAUUCUUCUUUAUUCUUGCAAUUUUAUCAUAAAAAAAAACAUACACACCACAUUCACUUUCAAGCUUCGUGGUCUUGAUGUGAUAUUAAAAAUAAAAUUUUAGCCCAAUUCUAAGGCUUUGAUAAAUCAGUUAUUACUUUUCCAGACUAUAUGUAGAUACAUGUUCUACAUUUCCAUGGAAAAUUCAACAUGAUUUUUAUCUGUCCUUUAGAUAUUUGUGACUAUAAAUUAAAUUCUUUUUUUUAUUUUUAAUAAUACAUAAAAAAAAAAAUUACAAUCACACACAAACAUUCUUUUUCUUUUUUUAUUAUCACUUUCUCUUUCUUUUCUUUUCUUUUCUUUUACAUUUACAUCCACAUUUACAUAAUACAAAUAAAAAUUCAAAACCAAAUAAAAAAAAUACAUCAAACAAAUUUUAAAUUACAAAACAGCCCCUAAACAAUCUAGAAACCACUUAUGCACCUCCAGAACAGUGUUCAACAGGAGUUCUGGGCACAGGGACAGUGGCGGCGCGUGGAUCCCACGCACCACCGCCACUGGCGGCGCGUGGUUCACGCGCCGCCAUAGAGAAAAAAAACAGCAGCGGGGGGUGGAUCGCCUUCUUCCCCUCAUCCUUUCCUCGCCGGCGGUGAUACUCACCGUCACCUGCACAAGAAGAAAAACACACAAGCCAGUCGAUUUUAUUUUUUCAUUUUUACAGAUCUGCUUUUGAAAUCCCUUUUCUUCUCCUCCGGAGAUGAUCCUGCUGUGAAGGAGGGCCUUUACUUUGGUGGCCAUGAUCUUCUAUGAACGUGGGAUGCUCCACGGUGGACGAUCUGGCGGCGAGAAGGUGUGACAACCGCGAGGGGUGGCGCUGCUGCACAAGGAUGGGGUCGUCGCUGCUGUCGUUUCCCCGUUGUUCUCUAUUUCCAGCGGUGGGUUUCUUCUUCUGCCGAUGGCAGAUCUUGUUGCUGCUGUCGUUUGGUCGGCCGGGUGGAGAAAAUCAGAGGACCAUUAGGGGGGAGUUGUGGUGGUUUAGCCAAGGGACGGAGGAACGGCUGAGGGGGAGCUGGUUCGGUGGCUGCGAUGGGUGAAGUGGAGGUCUGGUGGAGGUGCUGCUGUGGUCAGCCAGGAGAGGCAGGGGAGACAACGGAGAGAACCGGUGAAGGCUGGCGACGGGGCUGUUGGGGUCGGCUGUGAGAGGGCUGAGAAGAAGGGAAAAUUCUGAGCCUUGGGGGAAAGGCCUGGCCGCCGGUUGGAGAAGAAAAAAAUGAAGGUGGGGGGCUGGCGGCUAGUUUCUUUUUUUUCGUCCGGGAGAGGAAGAGAACUUUAGUUUUUUUAGGGUUUUUUCCCCUUGUGUUGCCUCUCCCUCUAUUACAAAAUCG
RNAcentral lists this long non-coding RNA (9876 nucleotides) under Populus tremula. RNAcentral's name for it is "long non-coding RNA (PTRE_LNC001099)". Lineage: Eukaryota; Viridiplantae; Streptophyta; Magnoliopsida; Malpighiales; Salicaceae. The record is from RNAcentral.